AUUGAACGCUGGCGGCAUGCCUUACACAUGCAAGUCGAACGGUAACAGGUCUUCGGAUGCUGACGAGUGGCGAACGGGUGAGUAAUACAUCGGGAACGUGCCCGAUCGUGGGGGAUAACGGAGCGAAAGCUUUGCUAAUACCGCAUACGAUCUACGGAUGAAAGCAGGGGACCGCAAGGCCUUGCGCGGACGGAGCGGCCGAUGGCAGAUUAGGUAGUUGGUGGGAUAAAAGCUUACCAAGCCGACGAUCUGUAGCUGGUCUGAGAGGACGACCAGCCACACUGGGACUGAGACACGGCCCAGACUCCUACGGGAGGCAGCAGUGGGGAAUUUUGGACAAUGGGCGCAAGCCUGAUCCAGCCAUGCCGCGUGCAGGAUGAAGGCCUUCGGGUUGUAAACUGCUUUUGUACGGAACGAAAAGAUUCUUUCUAAUAAAGAGGGUCCAUGACGGUACCGUAAGAAUAAGCACCGGCUAACUACGUG
Molecule: ribosomal RNA, 483 nt
Filed under: uncultured bacterium
Lineage: Bacteria
Description: bacterial SSU rRNA
Rfam family: Bacterial small subunit ribosomal RNA
Source: RNAcentral